Molecule: ribosomal RNA, 420 nt
Filed under: Triticum aestivum (bread wheat)
Lineage: Eukaryota; Viridiplantae; Streptophyta; Magnoliopsida; Poales; Poaceae
Description: partial small subunit ribosomal RNA
Source: RNAcentral
AUGGUUUCAAAAAAAGUAGCUAUGCACAAAUGCAAGAAAGUCUACACGACCUGCCUGCCUCUCUUAAAUAUUUUCUUCAAGUGGUUUCUUUAUAGCUGGGUAUAUAUUGCAGUUGACAAAAGAAGAUGUAUUUGCAGUUGCUUGCCACUCUGGAAUGUCGAGGUGUUGCCUGACCUUCUCAAAUGUCAGCCACCAAGUCCUAGGUGGUGUUCUCCUCAAGACAAGCAUGGGGAGUGCUCUUCCAGCGCCUCACUACAAUCAAACAAACGCAAAUUAAGCAUCGCAGUCUCCUCGGAACACCGGUCUCCAGGUGGUGUUCUCCUCAAAAUAAUGAACAACAUGCACUGCAUGACAACUAGAGUAUAUGUAUUUCCCUCAAUAGUGAACAAUUAUCACAUAGAACAAGAUACCAUUAGAUGA